CAGUCGCCACGGGAAUACGGAGGGCGCGAGCGUUGCCCGGAUUUACUGGGCGUAAAGGGCGUGUAGGCGGCCUGGGGCGUCCCAUGUGAAAGGCCACGGCUCAACCGUGGAGGAGCGUGGGAUACGCUCAGGCUAGAGGGUGGGAGAGGGUGGUGGAAUUCCCGGAGUAGCGGUGAAAUGCGCAGAUACCGGGAGGAACGCCGAUGGCGAAGGCAGCCACCUGGUCCACUUCUGACGCUGAGGCGCGAAAGCGUGGGGAGCAAACCGGAUUAGAUACCCGCGUAGUCCCUGUCUCUUAUAC
RNAcentral lists this ribosomal RNA (301 nucleotides) under uncultured bacterium. RNAcentral describes it as "partial 16S ribosomal RNA". It matches the Rfam family "Bacterial small subunit ribosomal RNA", at positions 509 to 807 of the family's 1533-position model. The record is from RNAcentral.